This 460-nucleotide ribosomal RNA is filed under the name uncultured bacterium. RNAcentral describes it as "partial 16S ribosomal RNA". It matches the Rfam family "Bacterial small subunit ribosomal RNA", at positions 338 to 795 of the family's 1533-position model. The record is from RNAcentral.
CCUACGGGUGGCAGCAGUGAGGAAUAUUGGUCAAUGGACGAGAGUCUGAACCAGCCAAGUAGCGUGAAGGAUGACUGCACUAUGGGUUGUAAACUUCUUUUAUAAAGGAAUAAAGCGAGGCACGCGUGCCCUUUUGCAUGUACUUUAUGAAUAAGGAUCGGCUAACUCCGUGCCAGCAGCCGCGGUAAUACGGAGGAUCCGAGCGUUAUCCGGAUUUAUUGGGUUUAAAGGGAGCGUAGGUGGGUUGGUAAGUCAGUUGUGAAAGCUUGGGGCUCAACCGUUAAAUUGCAAUUGAUACUGGCAGUCUUGAGUACAGGUGAGGUAAGCGGAAUGCGUGGUGUAGCGGUGAAAUGCGUAGAUAUCACGAAGAACCCCGAUUGCGAAGGCAGCUUACUAGACUGUGACUGACGCUGAGGCUCGAAAGUGUGGGUAUCAAACAGGAUUAGAUACCCCAGUAGUC